UACGUAGGCAGCGAGCGUUGUUCGGAAUUACUGGGCGUAAAGAGUGUGUAGGUGGUGCUCUAAGUUUGGUGUGAAAUCUCCCGGCUUAACUGGGAGGGUGCAUCGAAAACUGGAGUGCUUGAGUAUGGGAGAGGUAAGCGGAAUUCCUGGUGUAGCGGUGAAAUGCGUAGAUAUCAGGAGGAACACCUGUGGUGUAGGCAGCUUACUGGACCAUCACUGACACUGAGACACGAAAGCGUGGGUAGCAAACAGG
This 253-nucleotide ribosomal RNA is filed under the name uncultured bacterium. Its description in RNAcentral is "partial 16S ribosomal RNA". It matches the Rfam family "Bacterial small subunit ribosomal RNA", at positions 524 to 776 of the family's 1533-position model. The record is from RNAcentral.